UACAUCUAGAUCCAUACCCCUAAACUCCCUAGAUGUUUUUGGACAGCCAAAGGGCUGUCCCUUUUU
RNAcentral lists this small RNA (66 nucleotides) under uncultured Siminovitchia sp. Its description in RNAcentral is "Listeria sRNA sbrA". It matches the Rfam family "Listeria sRNA sbrA". Lineage: Bacteria; Bacillati; Bacillota; Bacilli; Caryophanales; Bacillaceae. The record is from RNAcentral.